AUUCUAUUAUUAUAUUUAGUAUAAUUAAUUGCAAAUUAAUAGGUUUAUAGAAUU
This 54-nucleotide transfer RNA is filed under the name Heligmosomoides polygyrus. RNAcentral describes it as "tRNA-Cys". Lineage: Eukaryota; Metazoa; Nematoda; Chromadorea; Rhabditida; Heligmosomidae. The record is from RNAcentral.